RNAcentral lists this non-coding RNA (148 nucleotides) under Nomascus leucogenys (northern white-cheeked gibbon). Lineage: Eukaryota; Metazoa; Chordata; Mammalia; Primates; Hylobatidae. The record is from Rfam by way of RNAcentral.
GCUGGGCAUGGUGGCGCAUGCCUGUAAUCCCAGCUACUUAGGAGGCUGAGGAGGGAGAAUCACUUGAACCAGGGAGGUAGAGGCUGCAGUGAGCUGAGGUCAUGCCACUGCACUCUAGCCUGGGUGACAGAGUGAGAACCUGUCUCAA